RNAcentral lists this ribosomal RNA (218 nucleotides) under uncultured bacterium. RNAcentral's name for it is "partial 16S ribosomal RNA". It matches the Rfam family "Bacterial small subunit ribosomal RNA", at positions 118 to 351 of the family's 1533-position model. The record is from RNAcentral.
UGGGAAUCUGCCCUUGGGUUCGGGAUAACAGUUGGAAACGACUGCUAAUACCGGAUGAUGUCUUCGGACCAAAGAUUUAUCGCCCAGGGAUGAGCCCGCGUCGGAUUAGCUAGUUGGUGGGGGUAAAAAGCCUACCAAGGCAACGAUCCGUAGCUGGUCUGAGAGGAUGAUCAGCCACACUGGGACUGAGACACGGCCCAGACUCCUACGGGAGGCAG